This is an RNA transcript of Capsicum annuum, 1897 nucleotides long. It is a transcript of the gene named cytochrome P450 98A3-like, with no coding region annotated. NCBI's taxonomy places the organism in Eukaryota, Viridiplantae, Streptophyta, Magnoliopsida, Solanales, Solanaceae. The transcript has 3 exons. The record is from RefSeq and is a predicted model, not a curated record.
CAACCUAACUCCCUUACUUUCAUUUUCCAACAAACUCCAUAUUCAUAUAAAUCACCUAUCUUCUCCAAAGCACUCUCAAAAUUCCAAAUAUUUUUCUAUCUCAAUGGCUCUAUUUUUAAUUUUAAUUUCCAUUACCAUAAUUUUCCUAGCUUACAAACUCUACCACAAAUUACAAUACAAAUUACCUCGUGGUAUUACCAGUAGUAGGGAACCUCUAUGAUAUUCAACCGGUGCGAUUCCGGUGUUUCGCUGAUUGGGCUAACAAAUAUGGUCCAAUAUUCUCCGUGUACUUUGGUUCACAAUUAAAUGUUGUAGUAACAACAGCUGAAUUAGCUAAACAAGUGUUGAAAUAAAAUGAUCAUAAUUUAGCAGAUAGAUUUAGGACAAGGCCUGCUAAUAAUUUGAGUAGAAAUGGAAUGGAUUUGAUUUGGGCUGAUUAUGGACCUCAUUAUGUGAAAGUGAGAAAGCUUUGUAAUUUGGAGCUAUUUACUCCAAAGAGACUUGAAGCUCUUAGCCCUAUUAGAGAAGAUGAAGUUACUGCUAUGGUUGAAAAUAUUUACAAGGAUUGUACUAACCCUGGUCAUGGUUUCGAGCUGUGGAAUCUGAUGUUCGCGGAACGUGACCUAUAUAGGUCAUGAGUUCGAGCUAUGAAAUCCGUUGUUGAUGCUUGCUGUAGUGUAGGCUAUCAACAUUAGAGAGCGUGUGACCCUUUCCCCGGACCCUACAAAAAUGCCGGAUGCUUCGUGUACAGAUAACUUCAUAGUAUAAUCAUCAUGUGUACUUGAUUAACUUUUGAAAAUGAACAGAAGUAAAACUCUUGAAGUACACAAAUCAUAGAAGUUAAUGAUCAACAUAGUGUAAGUCAACUUGGAAUGUGCAUUGUGUAUAUCAACUUAAAGCUUUUUUGUGUCUAGUUUUCAUGGUUCAAGCCGUUCGUCAUCUGGAUUUUUGUACAAAAAGUUAUGUCUAAUUUACCGAACAAUGUCCAAUCUGCCGAUAACGCGGGUAAAAGCCUGUUGAUGAGAGAGUACUUAGGAUCAGUAGAAGGUUAACAUUUGGUAAAAGGUUCAUGAACUCAGCAGGUGAGAUUGAUGAACAAGGCCAAGAAUUCAAGGGCAUUGUAUCUAAUGGCAUCAAAAUCGGAGGAAAACUUCCCUUGGCAGAGUACGUUCCAUGGCUCCGUUGGUUCUUCUCAAUGGAAAAUGAGGCUCUUGUAAAACACUCAGAACGUAGAGACCGGUUAACAAGAAUUAUCAUGGAAGAACACACUUUGGCUCGCAAGAAAACUGGUGAUACUAAGCAAACAUUUCGUCGAUGCCUUGCUUACUCUUCAGAAGCAGUAUGAUCUUAGUGAUGACACUGUUAUUGGCCUCCUCUGGGAUAUGAUUACAGCAGGAAUGGACACAACGACGAUAACAGUAGAAUGGGCAAUGGCAGAGCUAGUUAGGAACCCAAGGGUGCAACAAAAGGCUCAAGAGGAGCUUGACAGAGUGAUUGGAUCGGACCGGAUAAUGUCAGAAACUGAUUUCUCGAAACUUCCUUACCUUCAAUGUGUAGCCAAAGAGGCUGUUAGAGUAUGGGCCCUACUGAUUUCUCGAUUCUACUGUUUGCCUAUCUGUGGAACAGGUAAGUAAAUGCAGUUCGCAGAAGAGAAAGCUGAACACAGUGUUUUUACGUGGAAAACACCCGGCUCAAGAAAGGUGUAAAAAACUACGACCUGUACCUCUACAGGAUUUAACCCCAAUUCACUAAAACUCUUGAGCCUCAACAAUCAAACAAUUAGAAGGCUUCUUGUAACUUAGGAAUUACAACUUCUAAUUCCUAUCACUACAAAAACACAAAUCUCACCCAAAUCUCCUUUCCUUACUUGAAUUGGAUUGCCUUUUUUGUCUUUUAA